AGCGAACGCUGGCGGCAGGCCUAACACAUGCAAGUCGAACGCCCCGCAAGGGGAGUGGCAGACGGGUGAGGAACACGUGGGAACGUACCUUUUGGUUCGGAAUAACUCAGGGAAACUUGUGCUAAUACCGGAUAAGCCCUUCGGGGGAAAGAUUUAUUGCCAAAAGAUCGGCCCGCGUCUGAUUAGCUAGUUGGUGAGGUAACGGCUCACCAAGGCGACGAUCAGUAGCUGGUCUGAGAGGAUGAUCAGC
Molecule: ribosomal RNA, 250 nt
Filed under: uncultured bacterium
Lineage: Bacteria
Description: partial 16S ribosomal RNA
Rfam family: Bacterial small subunit ribosomal RNA
Source: RNAcentral